RNAcentral lists this ribosomal RNA (218 nucleotides) under uncultured bacterium. Its description in RNAcentral is "partial 16S ribosomal RNA". It matches the Rfam family "Bacterial small subunit ribosomal RNA", at positions 524 to 740 of the family's 1533-position model. The record is from RNAcentral.
UACGAAGGGGCUAGCGUUGCUCGGAAUGACUGGGCGUAAAGGGCGCGUAGGCGGAUGGCACAGUCAGGAUGUGAAAUUCCCGGGCUUAACCUGGGGGCUGCAUUUGAUACGUGUUGUCUUGAGUUCGGAAGAGGGUCGUGGGAAUUCCCAGUGUAGAGGUGAAAUUCGUAGAUAUUGGGAAGAACACGGUGGCGAAGGCGGCGACCUGGGUCCGACAC